This 220-nucleotide long non-coding RNA is filed under the name Brassica napus (rape). Its description in RNAcentral is "long non-coding RNA (BNAP_LNC003073)". The record is from RNAcentral. Lineage: Eukaryota; Viridiplantae; Streptophyta; Magnoliopsida; Brassicales; Brassicaceae.
CGCCUCCUCCGAGACUGCAAGACCAAACGGGAAGUCCACCGCUUCCUCCGCCAUUGUGAUGAAACCAAACGCUUCUACCGCUCUGUCCAAAUCCGAAUCGGACCAUCGAUUGCAUAGAGUUUUAGAUAUGCUGGAGCGUUGCCGUGGCUGUGUAACUUAAGUUGUAGCUCUGAAUCGGCCUAAAAAAAAGAAACAGAGGAAGAGUAACAGCAACAGGGGU